RNAcentral lists this ribosomal RNA (1490 nucleotides) under Lactiplantibacillus argentoratensis. Its description in RNAcentral is "partial 16S ribosomal RNA". It matches the Rfam family "Bacterial small subunit ribosomal RNA". The record is from RNAcentral. Lineage: Bacteria; Bacillati; Bacillota; Bacilli; Lactobacillales; Lactobacillaceae.
GACGAACGCUGGCGGCGUGCCUAAUACAUGCAAGUCGAACGAACUCUGGUAUUGAUUGGUGCUUGCAUCAUGAUUUACAUUUGAGUGAGUGGCGAACUGGUGAGUAACACGUGGGAAACCUGCCCAGAAGCGGGGGAUAACACCUGGAAACAGAUGCUAAUACCGCAUAACAACUUGGACCGCAUGGUCCGAGCUUGAAAGAUGGCUUCGGCUAUCACUUUUGGAUGGUCCCGCGGCGUAUUAGCUAGAUGGUGGGAUAACGGCUCACCAUGGCAAUGAUACGUAGCCGACCUGAGAGGGUAAUCGGCCACAUUGGGACUGAGACACGGCCCAAACUCCUACGGGAGGCAGCAGUAGGGAAUCUUCCACAAUGGACGAAAGUCUGAUGGAGCAACGCCGCGUGAGUGAAGAAGGGUUUCGGCUCGUAAAACAGUUGUUAAAGAAGAACAUAUCUGAGAGUAACUGUUCAGGUAUUGACGGUAUUUAACCAGAAAGCCACGGCUAACUACGUGCCAGCAGCCGCGGUAAUACGUAGGUGGCAAGCGUUGUCCGGAUUUAUUGGGCGUAAAGCGAGCGCAGGCGGUUUUUUAAGUCUGAUGUGAAAGCCUUCGGCUCAACUGAAGAAGUGCAUCGGAAACUGGGAAACUUGAGUGCAGAAGAGGACAGUGGAACUCCAUGUGUAGCGGUGAAAUGCGUAGAUAUAUGGAAGAACACCAGUGGCGAAGGCGGCUGUCUGGUCUGUAACUGACGCUGAGGCUCGAAAGUAUGGGUAGCAAACAGGAUUAGAUACCCUGGUAGUCCAUACCGUAAACGAUGAAUGCUAAGUGUUGGAGGGUUUCCGCCCUUCAGUGCUGCAGCUAACGCAUUAAGCAUUCCGCCUGGGGAGUACGGCCGCAAGGCUGAAACUCAAAGGAAUUGACGGGGGCCCGCACAAGCGGUGGAGCAUGUGGUUUAAUUCGAAGCUACGCGAAGAACCUUACCAGGUCUUGACAUACUAUGCAAAUCUAAGAGAUUAGACGUUCCCUUCGGGGACAUGGAUACAGGUGGUGCAUGGUUGUCGUCAGCUCGUGUCGUGAGAUGUUGGGUUAAGUCCCGCAACGAGCGCAACCCUUAUUAUCAGUUGCCAGCAUUAAGUUGGGCACUCUGGUGAGACUGCCGGUGACAAACCGGAGGAAGGUGGGGAUGACGUCAAAUCAUCAUGCCCCUUAUGGCCUGGGCUACACACGUGCUACAAUGGAUGGUACAACGAGUUGCGAACUCGCGAGAGUAAGCUAAUCUCUUAAAGCCAUUCUCAGUUCGGAUUGUAGGCUGCAACUCGCCUACAUGAAGUCGGAAUCGCUAGUAAUCGCGGAUCAGCAUGCCGCGGUGAAUACGUUCCCGGGCCUUGUACACACCGCCCGUCACACCAUGAGAGUCUGUAACACCCAAAGUCGGUGGGGUAACCUUUUAGGAACCAGCCGCCUAAGGUGGGACAGAUGAUUAGGGUGAAG